CGGAGGGAUCAUUCACAACAAAAUAUGAGGGUGUGGUUUGCGGCAACAGCGUCCGCCCCAAGUAUUUUUCACCCAUGUCUUUUGCGCACAUUUUUGUUUCCUGGGCGAGUUCGCUCGCCACCAGGACCCAACCAUAAACCUUUUUUUAUGCAGUUGCAAUCAGCGUCAGUAUAAUAAUUCAAUUUAUUAAAACUUUCAACAACGGAUCUCUUGGUUCUGGCAUCGAUGAAGAACGCAGCGAAAUGCGAUACAGUAGUGUGAAUUGCAGAAUUCAGUGAAUCAUCGAAUCUUUGAACGCACAUUGCGCCCUUUGGUAUUCCAAAGGGCAUGCCUGUUCGAGCGUCAUUUGUACCCCUCAAGCUUUGCUUGGUGUUGGGGCGUCUUUUUGUCUCUCCCCUUGUUGGGGGAGACUCGCCUUAAAACGAUUGGCAGCCGACCUACUGGUUUUCGGAGCGCAGCACAAAUUUGCGCCUUCCAAUCCGCAGGGCGGCAUCCAAGCAAGCCC
Molecule: small RNA, 505 nt
Filed under: Exserohilum rostratum
Lineage: Eukaryota; Fungi; Ascomycota; Dothideomycetes; Pleosporales; Pleosporaceae
Description: eukaryotic LSU rRNA
Rfam family: 5.8S ribosomal RNA (bases 191-345)
Source: RNAcentral